This is a small nuclear RNA of Leucoraja erinaceus (little skate), 131 nucleotides long. NCBI's taxonomy places the organism in Eukaryota, Metazoa, Chordata, Chondrichthyes, Rajiformes, Rajidae. The record is from RefSeq and is a predicted model, not a curated record.
GUGUUGCAUAAAAGUAGCAUUCCCCUUGAUAAGGCCUAGUGGCCUUACAACACACAAAUGGUAGUGGCAUCUAACCAUGUAAAACUGCACAAUACUAAGGUUCCAAGCACAGAAUUGGGCCAGAUUUGUCU